AGUGAACGCUGGCGGUAGGCCUAACACAUGCAAGUCGAACGGCAGCACAGUAAGAGCUUGCUCUUACGGGUGGCGAGUGGCGGACGGGUGAGGAAUACAUCGGAAUCUACUUUUUCGUGGGGGAUAACGUAGGGAAACUUACGCUAAUACCGCAUACGACCUACGGGUGAAAGCAGGGGAUCUUCGGACCUUGCGCGAUUGAAUGAGCCGAUGUCGGAUUAGCUAGUUGGCGGGGUAAAGGCCCACCAAGGCGACGAUCCGUAGCUGGUCUGAGAGGAUGAUCAGCCACACUGGAACUGAGACACGGUCCAGACUCCUACGGGAGGCAGCAGUGGGGAAUAUUGGACAAUGGGCGCAAGCCUGAUCCAGCCAUACCGCGUGGGUGAAGAAGGCCUUCGGGUUGUAAAGCCCUUUUGUUGGGAAAGAAAAGCAACGGGUUAAUACCCCGCUGUUCUGACGGUACCCAAGGAAUAAGCACCGGCUAACUUCGUG
This 492-nucleotide ribosomal RNA is filed under the name uncultured bacterium. Its description in RNAcentral is "partial 16S ribosomal RNA". It matches the Rfam family "Bacterial small subunit ribosomal RNA", at positions 29 to 507 of the family's 1533-position model. The record is from RNAcentral.